This 152-nucleotide transfer RNA is filed under the name Candidatus Woesearchaeota archaeon. RNAcentral describes it as "tRNA-Arg". The record is from RNAcentral. Lineage: Archaea; Nanobdellati; Candidatus Woesearchaeota.
GGACCCAUAGCCUAGUCUGGCAGCCAUGAGCUCUUCUUAGGAAGCGCAUUGCUGGGCAAAUAAGGCAUCAGCCUUCUAAGCUGAGGAUCGAGGGUUCGAAUAUCCUUAUGAUCAUCAGGGUCAUAAAAGGUUCGGAAGUCCCUCUGGGUCCG